RNAcentral lists this ribosomal RNA (354 nucleotides) under uncultured bacterium. RNAcentral describes it as "partial 16S ribosomal RNA". It matches the Rfam family "Bacterial small subunit ribosomal RNA", at positions 338 to 684 of the family's 1533-position model. The record is from RNAcentral.
CCUACGGGUGGCAGCAGUAGGGAAUCUUCCACAAUGGACGAAAGUCUGAUGGAGCAACGCCGCGUGAGUGAAGAAGGGUUUCGGCGCGUAAAGCUCUGAUGGGAGGGAAGAAAGAUAGAGGAAGUAACUGGCCUGUAGUUGACGGUAAUUACGUAGAAAGGCACGGCUAACUACGUGCCAGCAGCCGCGGUAAUACGUAGGUGGCAAGCGUUGUCCGGAUUUAUUGGGCGGAAAGCGAGUGCAGGCGGGUCAAUAAGUCUGAGGUGAAAGCCUUCGGCUCAACCGGCGAAUUGCAUCCGAAUCUGUUGAACUUGAGUGCAGAAGUGGCGCGUGGAACUCCAUGUGUAGCUGUGG